This is a long non-coding RNA of Sapajus apella (tufted capuchin), 326 nucleotides long. RefSeq lists it as uncharacterized. The record is from RefSeq and is a predicted model, not a curated record. NCBI's taxonomy places the organism in Eukaryota, Metazoa, Chordata, Mammalia, Primates, Cebidae. The transcript is spliced from 2 exons.
UUAUUAGCUUCCCUAAAGAUACUCUUUUGAAGUAUAAUCAGCCUCUAUCUCAAAGUUGCCAACAUUCUUAUAUUGCUUUCAUUUUCUUUACCAGCACACUUCAAAUUUCAGUUCCUUCAUUAGCUAGCCUCAGUUAGGUUAUGUACAUGUACAUUCUGAACAAUUCCUUCAAUCAGUGAGGUCUCUUCCUUUAAGAUCAGACUUUAUUUGAGAACUGUCUUUUUGCUAAAAUUGCCUUAUUUUCCUUCCAGGCAUGUUUCAAAUUGGCCUUUAAAUUGGAGUCUCAGUCAGAAUGCCUCCUUUAAUGUUCAGAUAACUUGCUAAAU